CGCAUCUGUGCAUGCAGCAUAUCAAUAAGCGGAGGAAAAGAAACUAACAAGGAUUCCCUUAGUAACGGCGAGUGAAGCGGGAAGAGCUCAAAUUUGAAAUCUUCAAGGUUUUACCUUGACGAAUUGUAGUUUAAAGAAGUGUUUUCUGUUGAAGUUUUGGUAAAAGUUCUUUGGAAUAGGACAUCAUAGAGGGUGAGAAUCCCGUAUUUGACCAUUAUUUUCAGCUGUGUGAUACACUUUCAAAGAGUCGGAUUGUUUGGGAAUGCAGUCCAAAAUGGGUGGUAAAUUUCAUCUAAAGCUAAAUAUUGGCGAGAGACCGAUAGCGAACAAGUACCGUGAGGGAAAGAUGAAAAGAACUUUGAAAAGAGAGUUAAACAGUACGUGAAAUUGUCAAAAGGGAAGCGUUUGACACCAGUGUUGUUUUCUCGAAAAUCAAUUAAAAAGAGUUUAGAUUUUGUUGUGUAUUGACCUUAACAGCUAGCAUUUCAAUUUUCUUGCUUUUUUUAAUGCACUUUUCGUUUAACAAGUCAACAUCAGUUUCUUUUGUUGUAAAAAGGUCAUUGGAAGGUGGCUUUCUUUUCGGAGAAAGUGUUUAUAGCCUUUGACUCCUGCAAUCGGAGAGACUGAGGUCUGCAGCGUAGAUCCUUCGGGGUUAGAUACAUUUGUGCUAAGUUAUAGCUUUUUAUAGACAACUUGUUGACUAUGAUUAGUCUUGUAGCUUACUCCCUUAUGCUAUUUUACCUACGCUUAGGAUGUUGAUGUGAUACUGCGAGCA
RNAcentral lists this ribosomal RNA (775 nucleotides) under uncultured Neocallimastigales. RNAcentral's name for it is "partial large subunit ribosomal RNA". It matches the Rfam family "Eukaryotic large subunit ribosomal RNA", at positions 26 to 635 of the family's 3401-position model. The record is from RNAcentral. Lineage: Eukaryota; Fungi; Neocallimastigomycota; Neocallimastigomycetes; Neocallimastigales.